RNAcentral lists this long non-coding RNA (317 nucleotides) under Prunus dulcis (almond). RNAcentral describes it as "sRNA ncRNA". The record is from RNAcentral. Lineage: Eukaryota; Viridiplantae; Streptophyta; Magnoliopsida; Rosales; Rosaceae.
AUGGAAAAAAUUUCAGCACUUCAUGCUGUCCUUGUGGUUGAGAUGUGCUUUUCAAUUCUCAUAGUGUCUUGUAAUCACAUAUCUUUGAGAGGAAGCUCAGCUUCAUCAUCCCUUUUCCCAAGCAACUUCCUCUUUGGAACUGCAUCCUCUUCUUACCAGGUAUCUAGCCUUCUCUUCUUUACACACACACAGAAUCAGUUUGUUUUAGUUAUAAAUUUUCAUUUCUUCUUCAUUAUUUUUAUCAGUUUGAGGGAGCUUUUCUGAAUGAUGGUAAAGGCCUCAACAACUGGGAUGUUUUUACUCAUAAGCCUGGUUAG